Molecule: long non-coding RNA, 1018 nt
Organism: Esox lucius (northern pike)
Lineage: Eukaryota; Metazoa; Chordata; Actinopteri; Esociformes; Esocidae
Exons: 5
Source: RefSeq, a predicted model, not a curated record
CGAGGCCGCGACACCAUUCACUCUCUCAGUCUCACUCACACUCUGCUGUAAUUUUCGGGAGGAGAUUUGGAAGAUUCUCGCUGUCUUCGUAGUCAAGGCUAAGUCAAGUUACAGCACUUCCAGAAGAUAUUGUUUUCCCCCUGAGGACGCUCUUUGAGGUUGCUGCAAUGGAGCAGAAAUUGGCAGACCCCACCUUCCACAAACAAGUGGUUGGCGUGGUGGCAGAAAUUGGAGGAAGAACAUUGGAUGAAGCCACCAGAAGAAUGAUGGCCUUCCUUUUAGACCACUCCCUAUCAAGAGAGUACAAUUUUGUUGGCUGCCAUGGAAAGCGAGAGUUUCGGGGCUCAAACUGUUUGAGGUUGUAUAUGGAAGCUUGAAAAAAAGUGCCCUUACAAACCAGAUUACUAGAAGAGAUGCUGAAAAGGCAGUGUCAAAGUGGCUAAUUGGUGCCAGGGACAGGGGAGGAAACCGUACAGCGAGGGCACGUGGUGGAGAGCAAGAUGGGGCCGUUGGGAGAGCGACAACAGAGGACUGAGAUUCUGCACUUUUGUUUUUGUAUGUGAAAUAUAAAGUUUGUCAAAAGCCUUCACUUUUGAUACUUGUCUGUUAAUACACAUAUGUUAAUAAAUAUUCUGUUAAUAAAGUAAAGCUUGAAGUAAUGGUUUCUGUUCAUUGCUUACAUAUAAUGUUUGUAUUUAGGGGUUUACUGUAAAAUAAGGUAACCCAAAAAGACAAAUAUGGUAGCCCAUAUAUACACCCGUUGUGGCCCAUAAGAGCCCUAGAUAAGACCUAUCUGGGUCCCAUCAUCAACCCAUGUGGGCAGACUCCUGUAGUCCCUAUAUGGGGACUACCUAGGCUACCCAUAUGGGCCCGAUAUGGAGCCCAUCAAGAGCCCAUCAUCAACCCAUCUGGGCUAACACAUGUGGGGCCUCCAUGGAAACUGCGGCCAAAAUUAGCUGGGUCCCAGUUGGGUAGCCCAGGUGGGCCCCGGAUAUCAGCCCAUUUGCAGCCCGUUUGG